AGCACAAACAGGCGGUGUGACACAGUUACAGCAAGCAAGGAGAGACUAAGGAGGUCAGGAGGACACUGGUGUGCGGGGGUAGGAUGAAUCAUCUCAAUAACAAGAAGGCUCAGUCAUGCUUGUAGGAAGCACUGGGGCCGUGCAGCACUGCCAAGUGCUAGAUGAGGCUGGAGCCAGUGCCAGGAACCCAUUACAUGUGAAGUAACAACAGAGAUGGAGCAGCUCCUCCCAGCCCACGUGCUGCCUGCGUGCUGCCAUUCCCAGCAUCUCAGCAGUGUGCACACCCAGUUCCUUGUGCUCCCACACAGACAGUGUCCUAGAGGGGAAUCCACUGGUGUGGGUGCCUCCCAUGGAGGACUGUGUUAGCCCAGCCUGACUCCUCAGGGAAACAUGGACACAUGGAUGCUCUUGGGUGUCUUUCUGUGCACGUACAGGCUGCAGUCAAGUCUCCAUGAAUCUGAAACAUGUGGGAGGCAUUUUUCCCACUUAGGAUUAAACAUAGAAGUGUUGGCUAUCAUUACUAACAAGCAGAGAAGCUCUGAAGGCCAGCUUGAAAAAGAUCUAACUCAUUGAUUUUUAACAGUAUCUAUCUAUAUAUGGGUCUUGAUAGUGCUUAUAGUGAUUUUAUAUCACUCCAAUGAUCUAGUGCACGUACCAGUGCAUUAACAACACUGGUGUGCUGCGAUGCUGCUCAUCAAAUAAGCACAUAUUUUGCUUAUUUCCCUAUUCCCUUUUUUUACAAGAAUCUCUUCCUAUAGGGAAAUUUCCAAGAGAGAGGCUCUGGUUUCUCUAAUCAGCAAACCUACAAAGUCUGUCUAUCAUGUGGCUAAUAAAAAACCGAAUAAGCAUCCUCCUAGACCUUGGCACUGUUCACCAUCCUAAGGUUAUACACAGUUUAACUGCAGCUUUUUGCAUAAGAGCUUGAAAUACAGCAGGAAAAAUACCUUUAUCCCCACUGUUUUCUUUACAGUCAGUGACAGAAACAGGCACUGUAAGGAUGGGGUUCAUCUAAUCAAGUCCAUACCACUGCAGGAGGAGAUAAACCACGCUGCAGGCUCCACUGACAAAGCUGAUUAGAUCUCUGUUGGCUCUAAAAGGGAGGCUCGUGAUCUGAAGACGUUUGUGUGUUAGCUACCAAUUCCCAGGCAUGAAUCCCUCCCUUACUGUGGAGCUGAGGCUGUGGUUUCACGAUCAGCAUCAGCAGCUGUGUGCUGCUGCCAGUUCUCUGUCACACACUUUUCCCUGCCCUAAUCACACGGCUCCAUGCGUCAGCUCCAGCAGUCCUGCAGCCUUGGUAAAUAGGAAUAAGUUGUUGAACUGGCUGAAAACUAAUGCUGAAGAUGAAGAGUUUGGUUUUGGUUGCACUGCCAGGCAGAGCUGAUGCCCCUCAUAGCAUCCUAUGUCCUAACUCCUAGCUCUAAGGUCUGCCUGGGGACAGGAGUGUCAUUUCUGAGGAGGAAAAGUGAACUGCCCUUUUUCGGGACUGGGUUUUACUUGGACUAGCUUAAGUUGACCACAAAACAGCCCCUGUGGAAGGCAGUGCUGAAAAUGGACAGAUUUAGUUGCAGAGCGUAAAGUUAACAUGUUUAUGGUUA
Molecule: long non-coding RNA, 1595 nt
Organism: Neopsephotus bourkii (Bourke's parrot)
Lineage: Eukaryota; Metazoa; Chordata; Aves; Psittaciformes; Psittacidae
Exons: 2
Source: RefSeq, a predicted model, not a curated record